Molecule: unclassified non-coding RNA, 318 nt
Filed under: Hevea brasiliensis (rubber tree)
Lineage: Eukaryota; Viridiplantae; Streptophyta; Magnoliopsida; Malpighiales; Euphorbiaceae
Source: RNAcentral
GUAAUUAAUUUCUUACUCAGCAAAUUUCGCUCAAUGGUCACUGAAAUGGAAAGGGAUAGUAGCUAUUGUUAACCUUCGUUUAUUAAACAAGUUCUAUCCUUUGAAUCCAUUACUAGCCUUAAAAAGUACCGAAAUUAUACAUAUUCCUAUGCUCAAUUUUCUAGCUGUGUUUUGUAUUAGUUGGUAUGCACAGUGUAAAUCUGUAUCAUCAUUGCAGUUAAAAGGUGCACGCUGGAAAUUUCUGAAAUACCAAAGAUUCCAACUGCAGUUAUCUUUCAGAAUAAUUUUAUAAAAAAAUAAAUAAUAACUACAUAAACA